CAGAAAAUAGUUUAUUUAAAAUAUUAAUUUUGGAAAUUAAAGAAAAAGUGUUUACUUUUUUUCUGA
This 66-nucleotide transfer RNA is filed under the name Cherax bicarinatus. RNAcentral's name for it is "tRNA-Pro". Lineage: Eukaryota; Metazoa; Arthropoda; Malacostraca; Decapoda; Parastacidae. The record is from RNAcentral.